UUACUUUAUCACGUAUGACUGCUUUUUCUCAGUUGCUCAUAACAUUAGUUAAAUGAAUUGAUUGGGUCAUUUGUUAAGAUUCUAUAUUAAAUCUAUUACUUUGGUUUAUAUCUAUGAAUUAAUUUUCAUGUGCUAUUUUAUGAGAAAUAGUACUAUACUCCUAUAUUUUACUAUUUUCAAAUAAUAUGUAUUUUUUAUUUGGAAAUUGGAUGAUGUGAACUUGUGGAUUUACAUUGUUUGGAAAUUAAUUUAUAAAUGGACAUAUUUGUGACAGAAUAUUUGAAGUUAAAUUAUAGGUUACAAUGCUUCAGUAACAGUUUAAUUUGAUGAGAUGAUGUUCUGUUCUACGUAUUCCGCUAACCAUAAGAAUUGUCGGUUUGUAGUUUAAUGUUUAUUGUGUUUUCACGGGAAUUUUAUUCUAAUGAGUAGGACUAUUGGUUAUGUGUUCAACUAGCUUUAAUUUCAUAAUUUCAUAAGUAUGUUCGACGCGUGUAGAGCGGAAUGAUACAUUGUCCCGAAUAACAUAUAAAGUGGAAUAUAGAAUUGAUAUAAUUACGAUUCAUCUAAAUAAUGUUAGGAGCAAUAUUCUAUAUCUUUUUAAUUUCUCUAAUUUCAUGCUUUAUUCAUUAGAAUCAUUACUCAUACCAUAAUCCCAAUUAUUGCUUUAGAAUAGUUAAAUAAGUAACGCCUCUUUAAAUGGCUGUUUACAAAGAGUGAACAUCUUUUCGUUGAGAUUUUAAGCGGCAAAUGGACCUCAGGCCGAGGCUUCGACAAUCCUUCUCCGGCUUCACCAAAUCCGAGGUUCAGAAAAUGGAGUGGUUACUUGAUAGUCAUAAAGAGCAAACUUUGGAAGAUGAGUUCUGUAAGAAAUUAGCAAGACUUUUCAAUCGUGUGAAAGGCCGUGCUGGAAAACCAGUUGUAAAGUGGAUUGAGGUUCAGAGGUGGUUUCAGAAAAAUCAACAGCAGGGCCUCUACAGAGAGGCUUCGUUUGAUGAAGCUAACAAGUUACCUGAUGUCCCAGAAACUCUCACUCAGAACAAAGCAAAUGGAAAUGCGAAGAUGCCUGAGGGAAUCGAGGAUGCAGAUAUAUCUAGGUUGGAGUUUGAAGCACGGUCCUCGAAGGAUAGAGCAUGGUAUGACAUUGAUACAUUUCUUUCCCAUAGAUUUCUCAGUUCUGGGGAACCUGAAGUCCUUGUAAGGUUUGUUGGGUUUGGAGCCGAGGAAGAUGAAUGGGUGAAUGCACGAGAUUCUGUGAGGGUGCGGUCUGUUGCUUUGGAGCAUACGGAAUGCCAAAACGUAAAGGUUGGGGAUCUAGUAGUGUGCUUUCAGCCGCCGGCAUGCGCUCAUAUAUGUUUGGAACCAGGAGAGACAGGAUCAAGCAAGAUAUUAUGAUGCUCGUGUACUCGAAAUUCAAAGAAGAUGGCAUGAUAUAAGAGGUUGCAGAUGCCUUUUCUUGAUUAGAUACGAACAUGACAAUGCAGAGGAAAGGGUCCGUUUGAGGAGACUAUGUUGCCGGCCUACCAUAGUGGCGAAGUAGAAGUAAUAGUAGCUCCCUUGAAGAAUAUGUUCGGGUUUACAUACAUCAAGAUUGAAAAGUUUGAGUCGUCGUGCAUUCCACCUUUAUUUUCGUGUUCUUGGCUGCACUGUCUAUCGCGUCCAAGGCUCGUAUUAGUUCAACUUGAUAGUGAUGACUGAUGAUUAUGAUCUUUGCUUAUGUGACGCGUUUACAAGUUGGUUCACAGAAUUCUAAAGGAAAUGUUUAAUGAAAUGAACAAAAUUUACAUCGUUUA
Molecule: RNA transcript, 1790 nt
Organism: Salvia splendens (bonfire salvia)
Lineage: Eukaryota; Viridiplantae; Streptophyta; Magnoliopsida; Lamiales; Lamiaceae
Gene name: protein SAWADEE HOMEODOMAIN HOMOLOG 2
Exons: 9
Source: RefSeq, a predicted model, not a curated record